This 2300-nucleotide long non-coding RNA is filed under the name Vitis vinifera (wine grape). Its description in RNAcentral is "long non-coding RNA (VVIN_LNC007794)". Lineage: Eukaryota; Viridiplantae; Streptophyta; Magnoliopsida; Vitales; Vitaceae. The record is from RNAcentral.
AAACAUCUCUGAGGACACCCUUGUAAUUUUGAAAGAAUUGAGGGGUAAAAUGAGUCAUUUCACCACCUCUUCCCCAAAUUGUUGGUAAGAGAGCCACCAUGGAAGAACAGCGAUGGACCUUAUAACAGUGUCAACAAAACCAAUUGCUCUCCUUACAAUCACCUUAGGUAGCACCAUUUUCUUCAUACUUAUCCUCCGGCCGCAUACAUUUUCUCCAAAGCCAGACUCCAUGGCUCGAAGCUUUGUUUGUGGCUUCAUGGGUUGGGUGACUCNNNNNNNNNNNNNNNNNNNNNNNNNNNNNNNNNNNNNNNNNNNNNNNNNNNNNNNNNNNNNNNNNNNNNNNNNNNNNNNNNNNNNNNNNNNNNNNNNNNNAAAUCUGAUCAGAGGGCCCGCGGAAGCAAAAGAACCCCAAAGAGGCACGUGCAGGGCUCGGAUUGCACAAACAGGUAGGAAGGGUGGCUGGUCGGCGUCAGGCGAGCCUGGAGGAGGAAGCGCGUCGCCGGAAAGUGGCUCACGCGCCCUCACGCGCCGGCGCGUGAGAUGCAGUCGCCGGCCGGAAAAACGCGCGUGGGCGGCGCGUGGAUGGGUUUCUGGUUCCGGUGCUUUGGGACAAAUUGGAGAUCUCCUCCAGGCGCUCCUUGCGGUGUAGAAAAAAACCGUCGCCGGAAAGUUCGCCGGAAAAGUUGCCGGCGGUGAGUGUUUUCUGACGACUAUUCGACUGACUGGAAAGUGUUUUCUCCCUUGGCUCUGAGAACAGGGACUGAUGGCCGGAAUGAGAGAGAGAGAGAGAGAGAUGAUCGGAUUGAGAUAUGGCCAGAAAGAUUUGGCCGGAAUGAGUGAUGGCCUGAAUAAGAGGUGGCCAGAAGGGAUUAGGGUUUCAGAAAACUGGCUCUGAUACCAUGAAGAAUUUCUGAACUCCUUUAUUGAUAAUGAAUCGGUACACACCAUACACAUAUAUAUACACAAAUGACUGAAUAAGAAACAAUCAAUCUAGCUUAAUUCUCUCCUAAAAUUAGGAAACUAAAUCAUAAGGAAAUAUCCUAAAUGAUCUCUCCUUUUUUUUAUUCCUAAAUUAAAGUCCUAACUUUGGCAUUAUUUCAACAGAGAUUUUAGAAUUGUAGGAUGAAACUUUUAUUUUGAUUCCAGACAGAAGCUAUGCCCAACAUUCAUAUUGACUUCUUCAAUCGAAAUAGCUGGAUUGAUUUGCUUGCAUCUGAAAGGCUGAUUGCGUGGACCUGUGAUAGAUACUGUAUUGCUUUGAUUUCAUCAUCCUAUACAUUUAGAUGCGUUUUAAAGUUGUGAGAGUCAAUAUCGUAUCAAACUCAUCUCAUAUGUUUUUCCCUAAUUCAGUCCAAGGCUCUUUCAUUGAGCCACAACUUCUUGGUGCAUUUGAGAUGCUUUAGGCAAGGUCUAAAUUCAACUAUUUGGAUGCUGAUAUUGGUACUUUUCAAGCAGAUUUUUUAUAGAAUCUCCCCAUAUUUUCAAUUUCUUUAAUGGGUCAUUUUCAAACAAGGAGUAUGAUAGCUUGAGAGCUAGGGUGACUUCUUAUACAAUAUUUGUUCACUUAUGAUAAGAUUAGAGAUAUGAUUUUAAGAAGGUUUAAGUGUGUUUUUCUUAUAAAAGAUUGAUAUUUAGCAAAGUUUCAAAAAUUUAGAGAAUUAUUUAAAGUGAUUUUUGGAUUAGUAGUGUGCGUGCGGGUUUUUUUUUUUUAAUUUUAAAUCAUCUUCAAAUUUCAAUAUCAUUUAUUUAUGUUUUGCUUUUAAAAAAAAAAUUGAAAAUGAAUUUUUAAUUAUUUAUUUAAGUCUUUUUUCAAUAUCAAAAUUGUUCUUAUUUCUAAUAAAAAAAAUUUAAGUAACGAAAGUGAUUACUUCUAUUUCUUAAACAUUGAUUUGAUGUUGGGCUGAGCUCUAUGAGUUGGGCCAACUCACAAGUCAGCGCAACAAACAUCUCUGAGGACACCCUUGUAAUUUUGAAAGAAUUGAGGGGUAAAAUGAGUCAUUUCACCACCUCUUCCCCAAAUUGUUGGUAAGAGAGCCACCAUGGAAGAACAGCGAUGGACCUUAUAACAGUGUCAACAAAACCAAUUGCUCUCCUUACAAUCACCUUAGGUAGCACCAUUUUCUUCAUACUUAUCCUCCGGCCGCAUACAUUUUCUCCAAAGCCAGACUCCAUGGCUCGAAGCUUUGUUUUGUGGCUUCAUGGGUUGGGUGACUCAGGCCCUGCCAAUGAACCCAUCAAGACCCUCUUCACUUCUCCUGAGUUCAGAAACACCAUAUGGAAAUUCCCUUCUGCUCCUUCAA